UGAGGGGUAAGCAGCUCCCGGGAGCCCUUCAAAUCAUUCCCAGAGGCAGCUGCCUGUGCAGAAGGCUGGGGCUGACGCCGCGCCAAGAGUGGAGGGCUCUGCGGGCUCCAGAGCCUCUCGCCGGGAAGCUGCUCCCCAGGCACCCACCCACGCGCACACGGCCCUCAGGAGCCCUGGCGGAGGGCGGGCUGGGUGUGCACAUGCGUGUGUGUGUGUCCAAGAGUGUGCGCGGAAACGCUAAGUGACUUGUACAAGCUCAUCCUGCAGGAGAAGAUAGCUGGAUUCCCAUAUCUGCUUCUGCAUCCAGUCUGUUGUGAUAUCACGUGUCAUGUCGCCUCUGGAAAGUGCCACUCUACACUUAGAAGUUCAAGAAUGAGAAGAAAAAGGCGGAUAAUGUCUCAGUGUUAUUAUGAAAAUAUUUUUGACCUUGUGGAUCCCCCAGGGAUUCCUUGGCCACACUUUGAGAACUGCUGCACUAUGCCAUUAAUGUUCAUUGAUGACACAUCAAUAUACACAAUGUAUCACCACUACACAUUUUAUAAAGUCUCAGGCAUAUUCAAGGCUGUAUAUCAAAUACAUUGACUCAGCCCCUGUGGAAUACAGGAAGGGAAUGGGAUAAAAGGGGGAAUGAAAUAAAUAAGAUAAAGCAAGAAAGAAUCUG
RNAcentral lists this long non-coding RNA (661 nucleotides) under Homo sapiens (human). RNAcentral describes it as "HSALNT0038848". Lineage: Eukaryota; Metazoa; Chordata; Mammalia; Primates; Hominidae. The record is from RNAcentral.